AACCGUGGUUCCAAUGACAACUUUUUCUAGAAUGAAAUUAUACGUCCUUCAUCUGUAAUUAUGACAUUUAUAAUUUGGUUGGCAUACGACAGGGAUUGGGGGGUGUUACCUGGGUUCUUGUGCUCUCGCCUCUGGCCCAUCGAGUAAUUUGAAACAAGGAACCUUACAGAAUUGGAGCUGAGAAAGAAAAUGACAAGGAAGUUAAAUAUAAAGAAAGGAAUGGGAACGUGGUGUGUAAUGGACCUGAGUUUUACUCCGUGUGGGAGGGGCGUGGCGUUGUGGUAACUGCUGUUGGAGACUGGAAAUUUCCACUCUGCGAAUGUGGUGGUCAGAUACAAAGAACACUGUAUCCGUGUAUUUAAUCUGAAGUUGAAGCACUGCUUCUUAACAAGAAGACAGUUGCACAAUGCACGUUUCCUGAGUUCGUCAAGGAGUCAGAAUGAUAUGCGAGAGGAACGCAAGGCCGUGCACCACAGCAAGAACUUCCAGCGGCCAUCACCAGAUCUACCGGACGUAUCAAAAUUCAGUUCACCCAUUAUUUUGCUGAUGUUUAUUUACAAGAUAGUAUUAUUAUUAUUGUUAUCUUAUAACAUUAUUGGCGGUUGAUCCUGUAAAGUCGAAACUCCCUACGUCAUGUGCAUAUGAUGACCAUGCGUUGGAUGGCGAUCAUAUUCGUCCCAUUUCGAGAAUGAACACUGCUUAAACCGGAUACAACUGGAAACCGGAAUCCAAACGUAAUGGAGAUACGGCCUCGGAAACGUGUUUAUGGAAGCGUAGGUUCUCUGCGUCUCUUGUGUAUCUCCUGCCUCAGGCACUUAUGAAUUUUUGCUUUCUGAACGUUUAAAUUACGAGUUAAUUGUAAUUAUAUUAUAGCCCACUGAGAUGGUUUAAACUGAACUAUCUAGGCUAUGGAAAGUUAUAUAAUACCAGUAAUGAAGUUGAUUUCGGCCUGCGGAACGCCACUGACGACUAGUGUGUAUGUUGCAUCUCGUGAUGUCUGUAUGUGGUCGCGUAUGAUAGCUGCUGGAGUACGAACUACAUUUGUAAUAGAAACCACAUGGCGUUGGAAUGUGUGAUAUUUCAGUCUCUUAAGAAAGCAAGAACCUUGAAAAUACUACAGGAUUACUACAAACGGAGUAUACACUUUUAAAUAAAUAUGCUGAUCAAAUUUAUUAAAGCUUUGUUGGUAAGACAUGAAAGUCUGUGUUUUUUCUAAGUUGGCAAGACGUUCAGUUUUAGAAGACUCGAUGAAGUGCUUCUACUUAGAUCGCUGAAUUGACUGUAAGAACUGUAAACUAUAGCCUCAUAGAUACACGGAUCUAAUUCAUAUGAAGUUUUCUUUUCUAUGGGGUUAAAGAUCAGUCGCGUUUGUCUUAAGAACUGGUUUUCUGAAGAUAUCGCUUUUUUUGAACACAACACAUUUCAAAACGUUUGGAACGCAUUUCUCGUAUGUACCAGCGGAACUCGUAUUUAGUACAUAUUUAGUUAUCUAUGAACUUAAGCGUUUGGCGUAUGAGGUACUGUGGUCUGAAAACAUUUGUAGGAAGGUCUGUUAGUCCUUUUAACGUAUUUUUAAAAGUGUACAUUUCGUUUGCAAAACCGCGUAUUUGACAGUGCAUAUUUACUUCAACAUGUAAGUUUUAUAACCGUGUAAGAUUCUGACGUAAGUAAUGAAAAUAUGCUAUAUUUUUCAUUCAGUUGCUACAGGCAAAUGACAAGACCUACAAAAUGUGAUUUGUUAUAAUUCUGGAUUUGAGUUUUUCACCGCGUUGAGUCUGAAGAUGGUGAUCUUCUGUUAAAAUUUGCCUGCUUAAAUAUUAAAAAGAGUGAAUAAAAUAUAUUCUGAAACUAUUAUUGUUUCAGUCAUUCAACAGUAAUUUAUGACUUGAAAUUUUUUCGCUGUCAUUGCUGCUAUGACUAUUACUGCAGUAUAGUCACCUUAAAUAGCAGUUAACAACGGAUGCGUGUUCUUGUAAUCGGGAAGCAAAAGUGGAAGGCAAAGUAGGGAGAUUCCAUAUCGACAGAGGAACAACGGCAGCUUAGCUACGGAUCUGGCAGGAAAACUGACCCUUAUUUGCAAGGAGAUUUGUUUAUUUAUUUAUUCGUGUGAUGUCUCAUUGUUUUUAAACACAGUCUUUCUUGUUUGCUUGUAGUUUAGUUGGUGCAGCCAGCAUAUAAUUAACUAUCGACGUUUUGUGGUCAUUCCACUCUUCAUCUCUUUCAGAUGCAUCUGCCAGGAUCCCCUAUGAGGCCUAUACAAGGCACAAGAACAAAAAGAUGAACAAACAGCACGUCAUUAUCAUCGUCCUCACGUUAUUAGGAUGAUAAGGUGACUGGCGAAUGACGACACAGUGACGUCAUUAAAGGCAAAAGACAGGUGCGCCCGCAACAAAGUUAUAAUAAAGCGCCUUUUGGCUUCCACCUACCUUGUAGAUGGUACAAAUGAUGGCGACAAGGACGACAGUGACGGCAACAUCAGCAAACUAUUGUCUGUCUGUCUGUCACGUUUUUCAUGUGGUUCUCAACUUGACUGGGGAUUUAGUUUUCUUACGGGGGUGUCAACCUGUAUGGUCAGGAUGUCAUUGUUCCUGUAGGGGUAUCAACCUGCAUGACCGGGGUUCAUUGUUCCUUUUGGGAUACUCAACGAGCAUGACCGGUGGGGUGGGGUAGGGUGAAAUUAGUGCAAGAGUGGCCGAAGACUCCACAUUGACCUCGGAUCUGAUCAGUGCAACAAGUACUUAUGUGAUGUGGCAUGAAGAACACCUUUGGAGUGUCAGUGUAUGGACCCCGAGUACAUCGAAACAGUUGGGAAAGAAAGUAGAAUAAAGAAGUCUCGCAAAAGAAAACACAAGACACGGAGUCCAAGAGGCAUGUGGCAUACAGCAAUAGAAACAAGCUUCAGCCCUGCAGCAAAACAGAAGUGCGUGUGACAUGAUUUGGGUUGUUGCCGCGGGGAGCGCUGCUGACCCGAGCGGCCAUUGACCCCACCCACGUGGAACCGGGACACGCACACACGUUAUGGUCCGGCCACCUUCUUAUUCACGACUUUCGGACCCUCAUUUUAUAGGGGUUUCAUAACCCCCUUUGUUACAGUUCAGGGAUGAUGAUACUACCACCACUACCAAACAAAGUCUCAUUUGUUGCUGUCUGUAGAGUGACUGCUUUACAAAAGUAGUUUUGUUGUAAUAAAUGAGCGUCAUGACCAACAUAUAAAAGUAUUUAGCUAAGCGUUUGUUUGUAUGAAUACUGUUGUUAAA
Molecule: non-coding RNA, 3257 nt
Organism: Zootermopsis nevadensis
Lineage: Eukaryota; Metazoa; Arthropoda; Insecta; Blattodea; Termopsidae
Source: RefSeq, a predicted model, not a curated record